Molecule: long non-coding RNA, 3249 nt
Filed under: Homo sapiens (human)
Lineage: Eukaryota; Metazoa; Chordata; Mammalia; Primates; Hominidae
Description: non-protein coding lnc-CHSY1-5:11
Source: RNAcentral
AGAGCAAGGCCGCCGCCAGCUCUCCCAGGAACCGUCGCGAGGCGUCCCCUCGGCGGCCGCCUCAGUUUCCCUGGCCGUAAAACGCGGGCGAUGGCGCUCGAUGCCCCGGGAGACGCCGGGGUCCGCGGGCCCUUCCGGCACCGGGUCCUCCUUCAGGUUCGGGCACCCGGCUGCCUCCACGCGGGGCGAGCGCGGCGAUGGGAUCGGUCCGUGCUGCGCUCAGCCCCGCUUUCGCUAUCCCUCUGCUCCAGGGGCAGCAAAAUCAGCAGAUGAGCCCCCAGCGCGCCUGCGGCCCACACACUGCGGCCGUAACAGUUAAACAGACGGGGAACAUUCAUGUGCGUAGAGCUCUUCACGGGGCGAUACAGAAAUGUGUCGUUCUAAAGCGUUAACGACCUGCAAUUUGCAUAUCCUCCAACACAUGGAUUUUACUGAUUCAAUUAUGGAUGUGUGCAAAGAAUCUGCUGCUCGCUAUAUGGGAACACUUUCAGUUUCCCAAGUUAAAACAUGAAAUUGCACAUCAUCAUUUGGAUCCCCAAAGAGGAAAAGAAAAAUUCACAACCUGCCAGUGAAAUACUCAGGCCACUUGGAUGAAGACCGAGGUCCUCCAUAGAAUCCAGGUGUUAUUUACUAACUAAUCAGAAAUUAAUAUCAAAAUAGGACUUAAAAAUAACAAGGCUGUGUUAUUACAGCAGUCUUUCCAGUUGUGUACGCUUUACUAAUCUAAAUUGGGUAACAGAACUGGAGAAAAGGAAGACUACACAGACUUAUCAUAAGCUGUUAGUGAACGUGAUAGAAAUGCGUAAUUUGUUAAAGCGAAUUACAGCUCUGAUUUGUCAAAUGAGGAGGUGAAUUAUCCUAGGAUUUGCUAUGCUGUUGUGGCGUUAGAAGAUUGGAUCUUUAGCAGCAAAGGUAACCUCAACAAUAUUUUCUGCUUAAGAAAGUGCCUUGGUUAAGGUAGACCGUGAUAUCGUCUUUGACUAAGCUCUCUGGGCUAUUGAUUCUGUCAUAUUCCAAAGGCAGUAUUGGUUUGAAGCCGAAUCUCACGGUCAAUGUCAACAUGCAAUCCACAAAGACCCUGGCGCCCUUCCACGGUAUGCACUAACCAAAACUUUCUCACUGUGAAAUCCUUUUUUUAAAAACAAGAAAACAAAAAACAAAAACCAAAAAACCUUACUGUGAAUCCUUUCCCAAGGAAUGGUCCCACCUUCACCUCGGAAAGAGGCGUGGCUUGCUCUGUAAGCAGGUCCACCCUGAGGAGACCGCUGGUGCAAGAGCCCUGCUUGCAGAACACACAGGGGGUUUUCCCACAUUCUUACUGGAGUCAGAUUCGGCAAAGCAUUUCAAGCAACUGCUGGACACUUCAAAUACCACUCCCUGUUAACAACGCCCUGAGUAUCUCACUGUCUCCAGGAUCUGGUUUAAAGGGAAACACAGAAAUGGCCAACAGCUCCCUCCCCAGGCAGGACUGCGAUUUCACAGACAACCUAUAGGCAUCCCCAGUCUGGUGAAUAAACAGGAGAGUGAGAGGAAAACAGCAAUCAUUCAACUCCAGUAGAUGUAAAGCCUCCAGAAGAAUGUGUCCCGGGAAGGUCAGAAAUGUCAUUUUUUUCCUCCAGCACAUUUCAUCUGCCACAUUCCGCCGUCCGAUGUUUGAGGAAGGAGCCCCGCCUUUCCUUCAGGGGUUCUUGUCGCCAAGUUUGAUGGUGACAGUUUUCACUUCUGUGUAUUCGGCCAAAGCGUAUUCACCUCUGUGAUCACAGAAAAGAGGAAAAUUCAAAAUGGGUACAUCCCUUAGCCAUUGUGUAGAAACUGUUCUGAGGCUUCAUCAUUCCAUCAGGCCGUUGGAGGCUUAUGCAAAAGGUUAAAAUGUGACGACCUCAUGGAAUAAUAGCCAGGACUAUAACAGCACUAGUAAGUGUCAGUAGCUGCAUAUGUGACUUAAAUGUAAAUAUCAAGGUCUUCUUCUGUGUGAUGCUUUUGAAAUGGCCAGGACUAAGGGUUUCCCUUUAGAGAAUGAAGGGGAUUUUAAAAAAAGUAAAGAGGUGAAUUCCCUGGGGUGGCAAUAGAGAGCAAAACGAGAGAGCCUGGUGGACGGUGGGGUGUCUGUGAACGAGGGAGGGGCAGAAAUUACACUGGGUUGAUAACUUUUAGAUGGCAAUUGGGAGCUGCUUGAAGAGGAGACAGAAGAGGCAGAGGCCCAAAGCUAUUGGCUGGGGAUGUGGCCAGAGGACCAGUGGGAAGAACACCAAGGGCCUGAAGCUGGCCUCAGAGUGCACAGCUGGGGACCAGCUGUCAGGCAGUGAGGCCAGCCUAGGGGGCAUGAGAGAAGCAGACGUUAGCACAGAGUGGACAUGGGGAGGCCACAGCUUUUGGGUUCACAUCCUUGGUAUAGUUCCUUUCUUUAAAUCUUGCAGGGCUCAGGUGAUCCUUCCCUGGCACCAUGGGCCGUCUUCAGGGUAGCUUCCCUUCCAAGACCCAAGAGGCAGCUUUGGAGAGAUUUAAAUCCUUCUAAGCGCUUGAUCUGCUGUCAGGUGAAGAAAAAUGUGUGCUUGUUUAGGAAGAGAUGAAGGUAGAGGUGGCCACUGGAGUCUCUGUAGUUAAAAAGACCUGUGACAGAAUCCCAUCUCCUCCCUUAGAUCAAUGGUUCUCAAAGUGUGGUCCCCAGACCAGCAGCAUCAGCCUCACCUCUGAACUUGCUAGAAAUGUAGAUUCUCAGGCCUCCCCCAGCCCUACUAUCGUAGGCAGAAUAAGGAUCUCCCCAGGUAUCCAAAAUUGGAUCCCCCAAACCUGUGAAUAUGUUGGGCUACAGAGUGAAGAAUUAAUGUUGCAGAUGGAAUUCAAGUUACUAAUCAAUUGACUUUAAAAGAGGGAGACUCUCCUGGAUCAUCCAGGCAGACCCAGUGUAAUCACAAGGGUCCCCAAAACUGGCAGAAGAAGAGAGGCAGAGCAAAAUGAGAUUAUAGAAACAGGUUCAGAGAGCAGCAGUGCUGGCUUUGAAGAUGGAGGAUGGGGCCACCAGCCUAGGAAUGCGAGCAGCCUCUAGAGGAUGGAAAAGGCAAGGAAGUAGAUUCUCUCCUGAGAACCUCCAAAAAGGAAUGAAGCCCUUGAUUUUAGCUCAGGGAGACCUGUGUCAGAUUUUUAUCCUACAGAACUAUAAGAUAAUAGAUUUAUGUUAUUUAAGCCACUGAUGUUAUGGUAACUUCUUGCAGGAGCAAUAAAAGACUAAUAAACUUACUGAAUCAGAAA